This 497-nucleotide ribosomal RNA is filed under the name uncultured bacterium. RNAcentral's name for it is "partial 16S ribosomal RNA". It matches the Rfam family "Bacterial small subunit ribosomal RNA", at positions 28 to 507 of the family's 1533-position model. The record is from RNAcentral.
GAUGAACGCUGGCGGCGUGCCUAAUACAUGCAAGUCGAGCGAACAGACGAGGAGCUUGCUCCUCUGACGUUAGCGGCGGACGGGUGAGUAACACGUGGAUAACCUACCUAUAAGACUGGGAUAACUUCGGGAAACCGGAGCUAAUACCGGAUAAUAUAUUGAACCGCAUGGUUCAAUAGUGAAAGACGGUUUUGCUGUCACUUAUAGAUGGAUCCGCGCCGCAUUAGCUAGUUGGUAAGGUAACGGCUUACCAAGGCAACGAUGCGUAGCCGACCUGAGAGGGUGAUCAGCCACACUGGAACUGAGACACGGUCCAGACUCCUACGGGAGGCAGCAGUAGGGAAUCUUCCGCAAUGAGCGAAAGCCUGACGGAGCAACGGCGCGUGAGUGAUGAAGUUGUUCGGAUCGUAAAACUCUGUUAUGAGGGAAGAACAAAUGUGGAAGUAACUAUGCACGUCUUUACGGUACCUAAUCAGAAAGCCACGGCUAACUACGUG